RNAcentral lists this ribosomal RNA (144 nucleotides) under Triticum aestivum (bread wheat). RNAcentral describes it as "partial small subunit ribosomal RNA". Lineage: Eukaryota; Viridiplantae; Streptophyta; Magnoliopsida; Poales; Poaceae. The record is from RNAcentral.
CUGCUUCUACUUUCUGUAUGGAGCUGGGAGCGUCUGCCUGUUGGACGCCCGAAGAGCGUCAGGUUUGAUCCUUGGUAUGCAGAUGAACAUGACGAAUUACGGCGCCCCACGUGGGCUUACAAGUGGGAUAUCGUUCCGAAAUGA